GCCGGUUUAGCUCAGUGGUAGAGCAGUUCAUUUGUAAUGAUCAGGUCGUCGGUUCAAAUCCGACAACCGGCUCCA
This 75-nucleotide transfer RNA is filed under the name Verrucomicrobiia bacterium AMD-G2. RNAcentral's name for it is "Verrucomicrobiae bacterium AMD-G2 tRNA-Thr". It matches the Rfam family "tRNA". Rfam says of the family: Transfer RNA (tRNA) molecules are approximately 80 nucleotides in length. The record is from RNAcentral. Lineage: Bacteria; Pseudomonadati; Verrucomicrobiota; Verrucomicrobiia. RNAcentral also lists the same sequence under 2 other names.